AAGUCGUAACAAGGUUUCCGUAGGUGAACCUGCGGAAGGAUCAUUAACACGUAUCCACGUAUCAACCCCAUGUGCUCUUUUGGUCUCGUACCCUGCCAGUUAGAAAAAGUUGGAAUGACAGCCGAAUGGUGAGAAAACCCCCUUUAAACGGGGCUUUCUUGGCUGGCAUUCCGCAUAGCUUCUUCGCUUUUGGCAGGCUUUUUUGUUUCUUUCACCAUUGGGAGCAACCCCCUUUUAUUUUACUAUAAACCCCUUGUACCUUUAUUGAUACUGAUUCAAUGUUUAACCGGCUGGAAACGGCUUGUUGAUCAAUGAUACGAAACGCUUGACAACUCUUAGCAACGGAUAUCUUGGCUCUC
This 359-nucleotide unclassified non-coding RNA is filed under the name fungal sp. RNAcentral describes it as "partial internal transcribed spacer region". The stretch from base 1 to 46 matches the Rfam family "Eukaryotic small subunit ribosomal RNA", at positions 1786 to 1831 of the family's 1831-position model. The record is from RNAcentral. Lineage: Eukaryota; Fungi.